CGGCACAACACACACGUUCUGGUGCUGGAGAUCCUGCCCUGGCUGAGCUUCUGGACCUGGUGGGGAGAAAUCCACAAUGAGUACUGAGACGACCGGCAAAAGCCCGGUGAAGGCACCUAGGAGUAGGGCCUGCUUACCCUGGAGGAGUCGGGAGCAGCUUCCACAGCAAGGAGGCUUCUAAGGCCAAGCUGUCACGCAAGGAAGCGGCCACGCGAGGGCGUGAUCUACCAGGGAUCCGUGCCUGGGUCUGUGCAUCCUCCCUUCUGCAGCCAGAAGAAACCCCUUUGAAGAAGCGGGUGGAUGACAAGCUUGCAAUACACCGGGGAGGGGAGCAGCAUCCCCAGAGGCUUUUCCAUGCACCCUCUUUCUGAGCAGCUCUGGAUACCCUGGGUCAGCUCCCACACAAAUUGCUCAUAACUCAUUAGUCACCCUUAAAAUUAAUCUCUCCAACAGUGACAUCCUGUACUCAGGCGGUGUCUUAACCCCCUGAAAAUGCCUUCGUGGCAAUGUCCCUGUGGCAUAAGCAUGCCCCAUUUUGCAAGGGAGGGAAUUAAAUUUCAGAGAAGUUAAGCGAUCCAGGGAAUUUCAGUAGCAGAAAUAAGUCUAGAACGGAGAUUACCCAACUUGACUCAAAUGGCAAAACGUUUGUCAUGGGGAAUUUAAUUCUUUAAACCUUUUCGUUGCUUUAUCUCCUUGCUUGGAAUAUUCACCAUCCAUGUGCCCACUAAAUCCUGACUGCUCUGAGACCACGUUCUUCAUGCCAGUCUUAUCUCCCGUGCCUCCUGGGCUUAGGAAUCUGAUGAGCCUGAGUGUGGAUCUGGGUCCUGCCCCCUGACUGUGUGGGGUUACCCGGAUUCCCUGAACUUCGGUCUCCCCUCAUGGAAAAUGGGGAUGGUAUGCCUUCCUACAUGAAGGCGAUCUCAAUAUAGUUACCAGCUGGCGACUAUACAGGCAGUUGUCAGUCAGCCUGUGGGACACAUGGGUGGCUGGAUCAGUCUGGCAGGAGCAGGUGGAGAGAAUUACCAGGUGAUAUGCUGACCCCACGAGGACCAAGGACCGCACUGCUCAAGCCUUCACCUGCCACUUGGCAUUAAAGCCUCUUUACCCUUGUCUCCCCAACCGGACAAUACAUUCCUAGGUGGGAGGGCCCCUGCCUUUCACUGCUGCUGUCUUGGAGCUAGGCAAUGUAAUUUCAUGUAUCAGAUGACGGCUGUCAAGCACUAAGUUUUGUUUGUUCCUUCUGCUGUCUCCUAAGUUCACAAAUAAACAACAGCCCUGAGAAUCCUCAUGGCGGCUUUGGAACCUCGAGCAUCAUAAAGUAUAUUCGGGAGUCCGGAGGGCCUUGGCUCCCUUGUGCUGGCAGGGCAGAAUGAAGCUGGGUGCAUUGUGUGUGCCCCACCAGCACAAGCGCUAGCAUUUGUCUCAAUGCCGGGGAUUCCUGGAGCACCCGCUGUUCUCUAGACGCCCCCUUUACCAUGGCAACAUCUCUGGGCCGUCGCGUGUGUGGAGGACUUUUUUUGACCAUGACAGCUAAUUCUGAGUCUUGUUACCUCCAUGCGUGGAGGAAGGCACAGGCCCCGCUGUAUGGAGGGCAGCCCCCUCUGCCCCAAGGUGGGGAGCCCAGGCUGAAAGUUCACACUGCCGAGGUGGGAGUCUUGUUUAGAAGGUAAGAAAAGUGGCCAGGCCCGGUGGCUCAUGCCUGCAAUCCCAGAACUUUGGGACGCCAAGGCAGAUGGAUCACCUGAGAUCAGGAGUUCGAGACCAGUCUGGCCAAUAUGGUGAAACCCUGUCUCUAUUAAAAAUACAAAAAUUAGCUGGGUGUGGUGGCUCACACCUGUAAUCCCAACUACCUGGGAGGCUGAGGCAGGAGAAUCGCUUAAACCUGGGAGGUGGAGGUUGCAGUGAGCCGAGAUCGUGCCACUGCACUCCAGCCUGAGUGACAGAGUGAGAUCCUGUCUCAAAAAAAAAAAAAAAAAAAAAAAAAAAAGCAGAAGAAGAGAAGAAGAAAAAGAAAAAAGAAAAGCCCGUGGGCUUUGGACACAGGGCCUGGGGGAUGCCCGUUUCAUCUCCACAGCAGCUCCUAGAAGACGGAAACACUUGAUGAGGCAGGGAAGGUGGCCGAGGCGUGGGAUCUGCCCAUUCUUCAGGUAUUUAGAUGGCACCGAGCCACCCCUCUGGGCCUGUGCCCUCAUGAGGGCUGUGCUGGGAGGGAGGCUGGGGCUGGAAGCCGGGGUUCCCCACCUGGCAAUGGGAGAGGGUCUGGCUGAAGCCAAGACCCAUUGAGGCUGUAGGGUCCUGUGCACCAGAUGGUUGGGAAAGGGGUGAGGCUGGUUGGGGAGGAGGCCUUCACCCCACAGCCAGGAAGCUCUGUGGGGGAGGACACAGAUGUAGAUGUAAGAGCCUGUGAAUGCUGUGGCCCGGGCUCCCCUGGACUCUGAAUAUCCGCCUCCUGCAGGCCCAGGGGACCAGGACAAUCUUCCCGCCUGCACAGGUUGAGGACAGAGGCUCAGAAAGGUGCAGUGGCUUGCCCAAGGUUGCACCGGGUUACCAGUGCUGGAAACCAAGUCUCCUCACCACCUUCCCAGCCACUCCCCUUUCUACCAUAGCUUGGUGCCCACUGCUCCCUACCCUGCCCCUUUUCCCGCCCUCCUCAUGCCCCAUGGCCUCUGUAGGUACUGUACUGGAAGCCCAGCACUUUCUAGCCUGGGGCCAGAUGGCUGCAAGGCAGGCAGUGGGUGUGGGGGCUGAGGCCUGUGGUGCUGGGCCCGCCAGCCCUGGGGGAAAUCCUGGGACAGCCUUCCUGCAGGAAGCCUACUGCUUCUCCUGGUGGUCUUAGAAUCAAACUUUCUAUAGAGGGGCUUGGGAAGCCAUUUUGUGCAAACUCCCUCUCAACACAUAGUAAAAAGCCAUACGUGGCCGGGCAUGGUGGCUCAUGCCUCUAAUCCCAGCACUUUGGGAGGAUCACCUGAGGUCAGGAGUUCGAGACCAGCCUGACCAACAUGAUGAAACCCC
RNAcentral lists this long non-coding RNA (3012 nucleotides) under Homo sapiens (human). RNAcentral describes it as "HSALNT0304456". The stretch from base 1814 to 1961 matches the Rfam family "Metazoan signal recognition particle RNA". Lineage: Eukaryota; Metazoa; Chordata; Mammalia; Primates; Hominidae. The record is from RNAcentral.